CCAUAAUAAUAAAUUUUUUAGCUACCAUUACCUACACGCACAUGGCCUUGACAUCAUUUAUAAUUCAAAGACCUGGAAUGUGGUGUCUGAGUGAGACUUCGUUAGUCAGAAAAAUCCACCAGAUUUAUGUGAAAAUCCAGAAAGAAAAGGCAACACCAUGGCUCACUGCACCAUUUCCACUCACGUUCUUUCUUGUGAGACCAGCUUCCUCUAGUGACAGAUUUCAGGGCGUUUUCAAAGGAUCCCAAUGCCCCAAGGGAAAAGAAGAGGCAGUAUCCAUUCUGAAGAUGACAUAAACCAUUGCUAACUGUGUCUUCAUCAUGUAUUUCUUUAUUUCAAGCUCAUGACACUGUCUCACGCUUAAUACGGUGUUUAACACAAUGGUCCUCAAGUUUUCCUGCGUAUUAGAAUCACCUAGGGAGUUUUAAAGCCUUCUGAUGCCUGGGCUGCACCCCAGAGCAAUUAAAUUGGAAUAUCAGAGGAGCCAACAGGAAAAAAUGCACCAGGAGGGAAAGACAGGAAAGGAGGGACAAGAGAGGAAGGGGGGCUCCACACAUCUGCAGCAGGAAAGGCUCGGAUUGCACCACCCACCCCUGCCUGCUGCACACGAGGCUGGGAGCUACCUUGGACUUUGUGGUCGUGGUCAUCCUGCAGGAUUGUGAUGGCAACUGUGUGGUUAUUUUCCAUCUCUAGGAGAGCAGCAUCAUGGCUGGCGGUGAGAUCUUCCACCUGGAGGAGAGUCGCAGUUACUGGUUAGACAGAGAGCUGCUUGGAGAACAGAAGUGGAAUUCCGUGAGUGGAAAAGGUCCGUGACCCAAAACAUCAAUGACAAGUCACAGCCUUGUGCCGAAGCAGGAGAGCUGGACUUUGGUGGUGAUGUGGCAGCCCUCGGAAUCACGGGGAGGUCACUGCCACAACCUGGCUCUUUGUAGGGGGGUCCAACUCCAGGCAGGGGAUCACUGCCUGAGGUACCUCUUUAGAGUCCUGAGUGUGGCUCCUGGACCAUCCCCUUCCCACUGCUUGUCCACGCGCUUGCACCGCUAUGAGCGAUGACGGCAAAGGAAAAGAAAAGCGUCCUCCCUACGAGGUGGUCUGUUUCCCAGUGGCAGGGGGAGCUACGGUACACAAGCACAGGUUCACAUUUAUGAAGCAGCCAAUAAGAAUUCCCAGCCUGAGAGGACCUUGGAACCAGAAGGAAUUGGAGGAGAUUUAAACAAGCUGACCCAAGGAAAGCACAAGAUCUUUCUAUGCAUUGAAGAUCACCAAAUCAAAGAUAAAAGUGCUCGACCAUUAUGGCCUAUGGCAAACUCGGGCUGGCUGAAGCAUCCUUCUCUUCCAUUUAGAACCCUGGUGAGGCCCCUUAGACCACCACUGGGCUGUCCUCCUCCCUCCUCAGAGACAGAGUUCUGGGCUGGGCCAUGGAGGUGUCUGUCAACACGGCAGUAGUCCUCGUUCUAUGGAAAACCAGCUGUUCCCUGUGACACGACUCCAUUCCCGCAGCUGCCUGCUAUUCAGCUGGGCUGACGGACAGCAGAGCACAGGGUUGGAAGACCACCCUCUCAGACAGGUUUACCAAGAAGCUCACUGAGAGGCGACACAAACGGCCAAGAACAUGAAAAGACGGUCAGUGCCCUUGCAGAUGGAAGCAGGCAAUCAUUUUUCACCUGCAAGGCUGAUAAAGAUGAAAUGUUCUGAUAAUACAGGAAGAGUAUAAGGAAACUGUCACUCGAUGGACUCCAGGUGAAAUAUAACUAAUCCAGCUGCCUUGGAGGGAAAAGAUAUCUUUCAAAAUUGAAAUGACAGGAAUGGCAGCAUUAUGGGUGGGAGAUAAAGAAUCUGGGUUUCUUUCAGGGGUGAUGAAAAUGUUCUAAAACGGAUUGUGGUGACAGUUUUCCACAACUCGGAAUAUACUGAAAACCACCACAUUGUAUACUUAAAUGGGUGGGUUGUAUGGUAUGUGAAUUAUAUCUCAAUAAAAUUUUUACCAAAAGA
Molecule: long non-coding RNA, 1992 nt
Organism: Homo sapiens (human)
Lineage: Eukaryota; Metazoa; Chordata; Mammalia; Primates; Hominidae
Gene: MTUS2-AS1
Product: MTUS2 antisense RNA 1
Source: Ensembl